CCGAGUUUACAACUCCCAAACCCCUGUGAACAUACCUAUACGUUGCCUCGGCGGAUCAGCCCGCGCCCCGUAGAAAGGGACGGCCCGCCCGAGGACCCCUAAACUCUGUUUUUAGUGGAACUUCUGAGUAAAACAAACAAAUAAAUCA
RNAcentral lists this unclassified non-coding RNA (148 nucleotides) under soil metagenome. Its description in RNAcentral is "partial internal transcribed spacer 1". The record is from RNAcentral.